Non-coding RNA from Benincasa hispida (wax gourd), 633 nucleotides. NCBI's taxonomy places the organism in Eukaryota, Viridiplantae, Streptophyta, Magnoliopsida, Cucurbitales, Cucurbitaceae. The record is from RefSeq and is a predicted model, not a curated record.
UAAUUUUGGACUAAUAAAGAUCUUGUUGUAGGAGACGCGGUAAAGGUAGGUAGAUGAUAUAAAGACACUGAAAAGAGAUCUGAUAAAGAGCUUUGCCUUCAGCUGUUUAUUUUUGUUCCACCUAGUGAAAUGAUUUAUGUAGCACAAAACUUCAUCGAAACGUGACGUUUCCGUCUAAUCUUUCAAGCUUGGAAGCAACAUAAGUUUAUUUCAUUCAUCUUUUGCUCGAAUCCGACAUCAUGUUUCUCUUCACAAAUUACUGUAUUCGAAAAGGGUUGUGCUCCCAGAAUUUGUAGGCUUGCUAUGUUUUCAUCAAAUACACAAUCACAUUUACUAUAAAACUCUUGCCAUGGUUAUUUGCAAGUCCCCAAAGCCCACUUUUCAGUCUAUGCAGGGUAGCAAGAAGAUUUUUCAAAUUCCUGUACUAACCAGUGGCCAACACUGUGAGUUCCUGUGGUCCUAACUUUCUGCAUUUAUGCUACUUUAGUUUAGGUAGAAAAAGCAGACACUGGUUGAGAGCUUUGUACAUGGUUUCAAUCAACAGUAAAAAGAGUCAAAGUCAUCUAGCAUUCAUUUAUGUUGUAAUUUUCCUUCAAACCACAUGAGAGAGAAUCUGCUUUCUGUUGGUUUUGU